This 837-nucleotide ribosomal RNA is filed under the name uncultured bacterium. RNAcentral's name for it is "bacterial SSU rRNA". It matches the Rfam family "Bacterial small subunit ribosomal RNA", at positions 45 to 881 of the family's 1533-position model. The record is from RNAcentral.
GGCCUAAUACAUGCAAGUCGAGGGGUAACAUUGGAGCUUGCUUCAGAUGACGACCGGCGCACGGGUGCGUAACGCGUAUGCAACCUACCUAUUACAUGGGGAUAGCCCACGGAAACGUGGAUUAAUAUCCAAUAGUAUAAUAAUACUGCAUGGUAUAAUUAUUAAAGAUUUAUUGGUAAUAGAUGGGCAUGCGUACCAUUAGAUAGUUGGUGAGGUAAUGGCUCACCAAGUCAGCGAUGGUUAGGGGGCCUGAGAGGGUGAUCCCCCACACUGGUACUGAGAUACGGACCAGACUCCUACGGGAGGCAGCAGUAGGGAAUAUUGGUCAAUGGGCGCGAGCCUGAACCAGCCAUGCCGCGUGCAGGAAGACGGCCUUCUGGGUUGUAAACUGCUUUUGACAGGGAAGAAAACGUCCAUGCGUGGAUAACUGACGGUACCUGUAGAAUAAGCACCGGCUAACUCCGUGCCAGCAGCCGCGGUAAUACGGAGGGUGCAAGCGUUGUCCGGAUUUAUUGGGUUUAAAGGGUGCGUAGGUGGUUUAUUAAGUCAGUGGUGAAAUCCUGCAGCUUAACUGUGGAACUGCCAUUGAUACUGGUAAACUUGAGUGUUGUUGAGGCAGGCGGAAUUUAUGGUGUAGCGGUGAAAUGCAUAGAUACCAUAAAGAACACCGAUAGCGAAGGCAGCUUGCUUAGCAACAACUGACACUGAUGCACGAAAGCGUGGGUAGCGAACAGGAUUAGAUACCCUGGUAGUCCACGCCGUAAACGAUGCUCACUCGAUGUAUGCGAUAUACAGUAUGCGUCCAAGCGAAAGCGUUAAGUGAGCCACCUGGGGAGU